GCCGCGGUGGUAACUGCGCCGGGGCUGUGUGUAGGCAGCAGCGCCAGAGGAAGAGGAGCACGAGGAUGCAGCUGCGACCGUGGCCCCAAGAGGGAGCAGCCACUGUUCUGUGGUCGUGGGGGCCAAGAAAUUGGAAUUAAGCCUGAGGGUCCUGUUGUUGAGGGGACCAGGGCAGGCGAUCGUGCCCCAAGCUCAGGCCUAGUAUCCGGGAAGAGUUCGGUCCGCUGGGCGAAGGCCUGCCGCCUUUGCUUCCUCCUGGCCCUCCAAGUCGAUGGUGGUGAAGUUGGUGGCCGCCAGAGGCACAAGCACCAGGCUGCUUCUCAUGCUUUCUGGCCCUGCUUGGACAGCUGCGACGCCGCCUCCUCUCGCCGGUGGAUCCCACCCUCAGCGGCGGGGGAGGGGGAAAGUUUUCCCCUCCGCAGGGGCUGUGUGGUGCAGGGAGACAACAAGACCUUAGGAGAGUAGGGGAAGAAGCCAACAAUUGAAUUUUCUCCUGGUUGUACUAUGCUGAGCUGGACAAAGAGAUCAUGGCGAAUGCAACAUGACCAAACAUUUCACAGUCCUGCUGCCAUAUCUUCACUGCCAUGAUGGACUGUAUCCAUUCAAACUCAAAUGAAGACCAUUGUAGAAAAGCACAACUAGACAAAAUGGAAGAGAUCAACAGACUGUGUGGAACCCAGCCCUAAUGGAUGCAUCUACACCCCAGCUCCUGUAUCUGUUACUCAGGGAACAUCACAGAAGAGGAGGCAGA
Long non-coding RNA from Onychomys torridus (southern grasshopper mouse), 751 nucleotides. RefSeq lists it as uncharacterized. The record is from RefSeq and is a predicted model, not a curated record. The transcript is spliced from 4 exons. Lineage: Eukaryota; Metazoa; Chordata; Mammalia; Rodentia; Cricetidae.